GUGGGGAAUCUUGCGCAAUGGGCGAAAGCCUGACGCAGCCAUGCCGCGUGAAUGAUGAAGGUCUUAGGAUUGUAAAAUUCUUUCACCGGGGACGAUAAUGACGGUACCCGGAGAAGAAGCCCCGGCUAACUUCGUGCCAGCAGCCGCGGUAAUACGAAGGGGGCUAGCGUUGCUCGGAAUUACUGGGCGUAAAGGGCGCGUAGGCGGACAGUUUAGUCAGAGGUGAAAGCCCAGGGCUCAACCUUGGAAUUGCCUUUGAUACUGGCUGGCUUGAGUACGGGAGAGGUGAGUGGAACUCCGAGUGUAGAGGUGAAAUUCGUAGAUAUUCGGAAGAACACCAGUGGCGAAGGCGACUCACUGGCCCGUUACUGACGCUGAGGCGCGAAAGCGUGGGGAGCAAACAGGAUUAGAAACCCCGGUAGUCC
This 425-nucleotide ribosomal RNA is filed under the name uncultured bacterium. RNAcentral describes it as "bacterial SSU rRNA". It matches the Rfam family "Bacterial small subunit ribosomal RNA", at positions 354 to 796 of the family's 1533-position model. The record is from RNAcentral.